Molecule: long non-coding RNA, 312 nt
Filed under: Monodelphis domestica (gray short-tailed opossum)
Lineage: Eukaryota; Metazoa; Chordata; Mammalia; Didelphimorphia; Didelphidae
Description: lncRNA (ENSMODG00000046617.1)
Source: RNAcentral
UCAUAGUCUCAUCCUUUGAGCACCAUGCAGAACCUACUCUUCCCCUUUUCUACCACAACUAUAUGAGAAGAAAACAAGGCCUUAGUUCUCCAGAACCACUGAGUCUCAGAAAACAGUUGCAUCCAAGAAAUUGGGGGAGAUCCUUGACUUUGAAGAAUGGGAAUAUGAAUCCUUCCUGGAGACAGAUGGAUGGUCCAAGUCGACCUUUAUGCCCCCAGGCUAAAAGUCUUCACUUGUUCAGCACCAGUUAAGAUCAAAAUUGCUCUGAAAAAACAAAGACCAAUAAACCUGUUCUCCCUGGGGUGUAAUGCA